This 67-nucleotide transfer RNA is filed under the name Brueelia nebulosa. RNAcentral describes it as "tRNA-Leu". The record is from RNAcentral. Lineage: Eukaryota; Metazoa; Arthropoda; Insecta; Psocodea; Philopteridae.
ACUUUUUUAGCAAAAUUGAGUGCGCCAAAUUAAGAUUUUGGAGAAGUAGAAGUGUCUACAAAAAGUA